AACGAACGCUGGCGGCAGGCCUAACACAUGCAAGUCGAACGCUCGUAGCAAUACGAGAGUGGCAGACGGGUGAGUAACACGUGGGAACCUUCCCUAUGGUUCGGAAUAGCCCAGGGAAACUUGGGGUAAUACCGGAUAAGCCCUUCGGGGAAAGAUUUAUCGCCAUUGGAUGGGCCCGCGUCGGAUUAGCUAGUUGGUGAGGUAACGGCUCACCAAGGCGACGAUCCGUAGCUGGUCUGAGAGGAUGAUCAGCCACACUGGGACUGAGACACGGCCCAGACUCCUACGGGAGGCAGCAGUGGGGAAUAUUGGACAAUGGGCGCAAGCCUGAUCCAGCCAUGCCGCGUGAGUGACGAAGGCCUUAGGGUUGUAAAGCUCUUUUGGCGGGGAGGAUAAUGACGGUACCCGCAGAAUAAGCUCCGGCUAACUUCGUGCCAGCCGCCGCCGUAAG
This 451-nucleotide ribosomal RNA is filed under the name uncultured bacterium. Its description in RNAcentral is "bacterial SSU rRNA". It matches the Rfam family "Bacterial small subunit ribosomal RNA", at positions 29 to 524 of the family's 1533-position model. The record is from RNAcentral.